UACAGAGGUCUCAAGCGUUGUUCGGAUUCAUUGGGCGUAAAGGGUGCGUAGGCGGUUGCCCAAGUCGGGUGUGAAAGCCUUGAGCUCAACUCAAGAAAUGCACUCGGUACUGGGUGACUAGAGGACCGGAGAGGAUAGUGGAAUUCCCAGUGUAGUGGUGAAAUACGUAGAGAUUGGGAAGAACACCAGUGGCGAAGGCGGCUAUCUGGACAGUUACUGACGCUCAGGCACGAAAGCGUGGGGAGCAAACGGG
This 253-nucleotide ribosomal RNA is filed under the name uncultured bacterium. RNAcentral describes it as "partial 16S ribosomal RNA". It matches the Rfam family "Bacterial small subunit ribosomal RNA", at positions 524 to 776 of the family's 1533-position model. The record is from RNAcentral.